AGAUGAAGAGCAGGGAGGGGCUCUGUCUGGUGCAGGAGGGUAUCACCAUGGAGGUGCUGAUGAUGGGGGAACCCUUCUUCGACUGUCAGAUUGGCAUCGUGGGCGUCCGGGCGCUCUGCCUGAAAGGCAUCAUGGGAGUGCGGGACUUUGAGGAGAACUUGAACAGACUGGAGGAGGAUGCAGUGUUCUUCAGCUGUGGAGAGAGUCUGAGCAGUAAAGGCAUGACCUACCUGACCAACUCCCUGUUCGACUACCGCUCUCCAGAGAACAACGGGG
Molecule: long non-coding RNA, 276 nt
Organism: Oncorhynchus kisutch (coho salmon)
Lineage: Eukaryota; Metazoa; Chordata; Actinopteri; Salmoniformes; Salmonidae
Exons: 3
Source: RefSeq, a predicted model, not a curated record